This 253-nucleotide ribosomal RNA is filed under the name uncultured bacterium. RNAcentral describes it as "partial 16S ribosomal RNA". It matches the Rfam family "Bacterial small subunit ribosomal RNA", at positions 524 to 776 of the family's 1533-position model. The record is from RNAcentral.
UACGGAGGGUGCGAGCGUUGUCCGGAAUCAUUGGGCGUAAAGGGCGCGUAGGUGGCCCGGUCAGUCAGUGGUGAAAGCGCGGGGCUCAACUCCGCGUCGGCCAUUGAUACUGCUGGGCUGGAGCACUGUAGAGGCAGGCGGAAUUCCGGGUGUAGCGGUGGAAUGCGUAGAGAUCCGGAAGAACACCGGUGGCGAAGGCGGCCUGCUGGGCAGUGGCUGACACUGAGGCGCGACAGCGUGGUGAGCAAACAGG